Molecule: ribosomal RNA, 462 nt
Filed under: uncultured bacterium
Lineage: Bacteria
Description: partial 16S ribosomal RNA
Rfam family: Bacterial small subunit ribosomal RNA
Source: RNAcentral
GACGAACGCUGGCGGCGUGCUUAACACAUGCAAGUCGAACGGUGAACCUCUUCGGAGGGGAUCAGUGGCGAACGGGUGAGUAACACGUGGGCAACCUGCCCCCGGCUCUGGGAUAACUCCAAGAAAUUGGGGCUAAUACGGGAUGUUCACCGCUUCCCGCAUGGGUGGUGGUGGAAAGGGUUUCCGGCUGGGGAUGGGCCCGCGGCCUAUCAGCUUGUUGGUGGGGUAGUGGCCUACCAAGGCGACGACGGGUAGCCGGCCUGAGAGGGUGACCGGCCACACUGGGACUGAGACACGGCCCAGACUCCUACGGGAGGCAGCAGUGGGGAAUAUUGCGCAAUGGGCGGAAGCCUGACGCAGCGACGCCGCGUGGGGGAUGACGGCCUUCGGGUUGUAAACCUCUUUCAGCAGGGACGAAGCGCAAGUGACGGUACCUGCAGAAGAAGCACCGGCCAACUACGU